This 112-nucleotide ribosomal RNA is filed under the name marine eukaryotic metagenome. The record is from RNAcentral.
AGGCGGCCAUACUGGAGGGGGUACACCCGGAUCCAUUCCGAACCCGGCAGUUAAGCCCUCAGAGGCCGAUGAUACUGAGACCAGUGGGUUUUGGGAAAGUAGGUAGCUGCCU